UGCAAUUACCCCAGUUGGGGUAUAGUCAAUAUGUGGGCAAAACCUCUGCUCUUGUGAAGCUGCCCAGAAAGUGUUGACUGUCACACAUCUUCAGGACAUUCCUUUCUGAUCUGAAACCAAUCAGACAGGACCAGGUAUUGCAUUUGUCUUCUGUAAAGCAGAGAUUACUCUAGGUCUUCAGGAAUUACCAAAUUUGAGUUGACGUUGAGAUGUAUUUCUAUGCAGAUGAGCCUUUGAUAAGUCAAGAAACUCACAGAUUUGCACCUGUGCUCGGUCUGCAGGGCAGGGCAGCUGUCGGAGCCGUACUGAUCCAGCUCUUUCCUGGGCAGAGCCACCCGCGCAGCACUCAGCGCUCUCUCUGGAAAAGCAGCCAUUACUUUUGCCUUCAGUCCAGUGUACUGCCUCAGCAAGUCUGUAGCCAGGGAAUAAGAAAAGCUCAAAGAUACACAAACCUCACAAGCUGUUCACAAGUAUCAACAUUGCAACAGGACUUAGAAGCCAACACAAACUUUUUGCUGAUAGAAGUUUAG
Molecule: long non-coding RNA, 530 nt
Filed under: Parus major (Great Tit)
Lineage: Eukaryota; Metazoa; Chordata; Aves; Passeriformes; Paridae
Description: lncRNA (ENSPMJG00000014266.1)
Source: RNAcentral